AGUACUCUGCACCAGACUUGCUUUAUAUACGUGUGUGUUAUGUUAUUUUUGUGAUGUAUCUCAUAUUACAAAUUGACAAUGAUUGGUGUGAUUGCUUCAGUAUUGGUAAUUGAAAAAUUCACAUAUUUAUAACGUAGCAAGCAAAAGUCAGAUUACAAAAACAAGAACAGGAAGAUUAUUCCAGAAUACAUCACUACUCUAAUGUUUUAUUCUCUGUGUCUGAAGUGUUCCGCAGAAUUAAAAAUUUUGCACAGAAACGU
Non-coding RNA from Pelobates cultripes (western spadefoot toad), 260 nucleotides. The record is from the annotation of a GenBank genome assembly. Lineage: Eukaryota; Metazoa; Chordata; Amphibia; Anura; Pelobatidae.